This 520-nucleotide ribosomal RNA is filed under the name uncultured bacterium. RNAcentral's name for it is "partial 16S ribosomal RNA". It matches the Rfam family "Bacterial small subunit ribosomal RNA", at positions 28 to 507 of the family's 1533-position model. The record is from RNAcentral.
GACGAACGCUGGCGGCGUGCCUAAUACAUGCAAGUCGAACGCACUCUCGUUUAGAUUGACGGAGUUUGCUCCUGAUUGAUAAACAUUUGAGUGAGUGGCGGACGGGUGAGUAACACGUGGGUAACCUGCCCUAAAGUGGGGGAUAACAUUUGGAAACAGAUGCUAAUACCGCAUAAAACCUAACACCGCAUGGUGUAGGGUUGAAAGAUGGUUUCGGCUAUCACUUUAGGAUGGACCCGCGGUGCAUUAGUUAGUUGGUGAGGUAAAGGCUCACCAAGACAGUGAUGCAUAGCCGACCUGAGAGGGUGAUCGGCCACACUGGGACUGAGACACGGCCCAGACUCCUACGGGAGGCAGCAGUAGGGAAUCUUCCACAAUGGACGAAAGUCUGAUGGAGCAACGCCGCGUGAGUGAAGAAGGUUUUCGGAUCGUAAAACUCUGUUGUUGGAGAAGAAUGUAUCUGAUAGUAACUGAUCAGGUAGUGACGGUAUCCAACCAGAAAGCCACGGCUAACUACGUG